AUGUUGACUGAGGCUAACUUGAAGGGGUUACAAGAUUUUCAGCACUAUAGCUCCACCAUAUCUUCACUAAAACUGAGAAAUGACAUUGCAAUACCCUCUGUAGUGAUAAACAGAUUUAGGGCAACAUUCGUACAAGGAGCAAAACAACACCUCAGAAGUGAACCACCUCAAAAGAACUUUUCAUCUGUAAUUUGAAGUUCCUGUACCAGGCAAAGGCCCAACAUAGGGUCGAUAUCUUCAUUCUUUCGACUUGA
This 254-nucleotide long non-coding RNA is filed under the name Prunus dulcis (almond). RNAcentral's name for it is "sRNA ncRNA". Lineage: Eukaryota; Viridiplantae; Streptophyta; Magnoliopsida; Rosales; Rosaceae. The record is from RNAcentral.